UGGGGGAUAUUGCACAAUGGAGGAAACUCUGAUGCAGCAACGCCGCGUGAAGGAUGAAGGUCUUCGGAUUGUAAACUUUUGUACUUGGGGACGAUAAUGACGGUACCCAAGCAGCAAGCUCCGGCUAACUACGUGCCAGCAGCCGCGGUAAUACGUAGGGAGCAAGCGUUGUCCGGAUUUACUGGGUGUAAAGGGUGCGUAGGCGGCUAUGCAAGUCAGUUGUGAAAACUAUGGGCUCAACCCAUAGCCUGCAAUUGAAACUGCGUGGCUUGAGUGAAGUAGAGGUAGGUGGAAUUCCCGGUGUAGCGGUGAAAUGCGUAGAGAUCGGGGGG
RNAcentral lists this ribosomal RNA (332 nucleotides) under uncultured bacterium. Its description in RNAcentral is "partial 16S ribosomal RNA". It matches the Rfam family "Bacterial small subunit ribosomal RNA", at positions 355 to 704 of the family's 1533-position model. The record is from RNAcentral.